This is a non-coding RNA of Rattus norvegicus (Norway rat), 8523 nucleotides long. The record is from RefSeq and is a predicted model, not a curated record. NCBI's taxonomy places the organism in Eukaryota, Metazoa, Chordata, Mammalia, Rodentia, Muridae.
UGUGCUCUUAACCACUGAACCAUCUCUCCAGUCCGUUGAAUGUAAAUUUUAAAGUUUUUAAACUUUGCUGUGUAUAUGGGCAUUUUGCCUGCAUAUAUGUUUGUGUACCAUGUGCAUGUAGUGCUAGCGGGACAGAAGGUUUUGAAUCCCCUGGGACUAUAGUUAGAGACAAUUGUGAUUGUGAGAAUGGAAACUGAGCCCUACAUCCAGUACUUUUAACCACUGAGGCCAAAAUUUCUUUUAAAAACGGGGUGGGGUGGGCUGGAGAGAUGGCUCAUCCGUUAAGAGCACUGACUGCUCUUCUAGAGGUCCUGAAUUCAAUUCCCAACAACUACAUGGUGGCUCACGAUCAUAUGCAAUAGGAUCCAAUGCCCUCUUCUGGUGUGUCUGAAGACAGCAACAGUGUACUCAUAUAAAUAAAAAUAAAUCUUUUUUUUUUUUAAAGAACUUGGAGAGGUUGGGGAUUUAGCUCAGUGGUAGAGCGCUUGCCUAGCAAGCACAAGGCCCUGGGUUCGGUCCCCAGCUCCGAAAAAAAAAAAAGAAUUUGGAAUUUUUAUUACUGUGUUGAGAGAUGUGAGUGUGAACAUAUGUGGAGUCCAGAGAACAACUUUUGGUAAUCUGUUUGCUCCUUUCAGUAUGAUUCCCAGGGUAGAACCUAGCUGGUAAGCAUUUGUAACUGUUGAGCCACUUGCCAGCCAGCCCUCAGUUCAAGUUCUUAAAAUUUAGAAAACGGAUAUCGGAUAGCUGUGAAAUUGCAAAUCCAUUAGAAAAACAUCAGGAUGCAAAAAAAACAAAUUAAGCCAGGUCACGAAGAAGACUUCAAAGUUCCCUGGUGACAGAUAGCACUAAUGUCCAUCACCACAGUAAAAUGAUGUACUACAAAUGGCAGAGCAUUAUCAGAGUAUGGUGGCUUAUGGCUAUAAUCCCAAUAGUUGGGAAGGUAAAUCAGUAUUGCUGUCAGCUCCAUAGAGACUUCCCGACCAGCUUGGAAUAUAGAGUGAGAACCUGCACUAACCAACAAAUCGAAGGUUUCAUGAAGGAGGUGAUGAAUCUUGUAGAAGCAAAGACUCUCCUCCUUCCCACUUGAGUUCGGGUUUUUAAUUUAACCAACAGGCAUCUAUUGCUUUGGACAUUAAUUCAGCCCUUCACAGCAUUUCAAAUUCACUAUGGCUCUGCAGCGCUGAAUACGUGAUAAAACUUCAUCCGGAAGAGAAAUACAGUAAGCAUUCUUGCAAACACCAUCCCCAAUUUCUAUUCUAAAAUUACCCGUCAUAAGUGCUGUUGGCGAUAUACUUAAUUGAAAACGAAGAUCUAAAAACUUGAAAAAUCAAAAGAAAAUGUGUAACUUAAGGCUUAUGGAACAUAGUUUUAAGGGAAGCAAAAAAAAAAAAAAAAAAAAAAAAAAAAAAGAGAGACAUGGAGGCGUCCCAAACCGAGUAGCGUGAUAGAACACGCUCAGCAGGGCGGAUGUUUGCCCAAGGUUGGAGUGCAUAGCAGGAAAAGCAGCGCACGCAUUCACGCGCACGCGUCUGGAGGUUCUGGAUUCCUCCAUGGCGGAUGAACGAGCAGGGAAGUAAAACAGGCCACUCCUCGUUCAUUUUAGACGUUCCACGUGGAGGAAGAGCGUGGCGUGCGGUGGAGCGAGACCGUAGCCUAAUGGCUCGGCUAGUAAAGUCGUGAGUGCGUCAGCUCCGCCCUCAAACUGACGGAUCUGGACCCACCCCCUUUUCCCAGCCUCAUCACUUCCUGUUUGCCUAGCGCACGCUUUAAGGGUUUGUUUCAAGCCGGAAGGAGUCAAUUAUCUUUCCGCGCUGAUCACCCUAGCGUAGCGCACUACGCAGGCUCCGUAGCUCUUCGAGAAGCGGCGGACGGUUAGGGAGGAACUGGUUUCCACCUACACUCCCACGGUGGAGGCGGCGACACUACCGAGGAGGACCAGCAGUCUCAGUUAACCUGGACCCCUGAGAUCUCUCGGACACUGGAUCACCAACCAGGCAGCAGACACCAGCUGAGAUGAGGCCUCCAACACAUAUACAGCAGAGGACUCCCAGGUCUGGGUUCAGUCAGGGAAGAUGCAUCUAACCCUCAAGAGACUGGAGGCCCCAGGGAGUUUAGAACACUGGUAGGAUGGGUGGGGUGGGGACAUCCUCGUGGAGACUGGGGAAGGGGAUGUGGAACAGUCAGAGGGUGGACCAGGAGGGGGAUAAAAUCUGGAGUGUAAAAAAAAGAUAAUAAAAUUAAAAAAAAAACUUUCCCUAUUUAUGUCACUACAAGAUAUCACAAAGUUCUGAUGUUUUAGUACGGUUUCUUUUUAAGUGCUAGGUGGUGGAAACUGGAGCCCUGGAUAUACAGACAAGAGUCCUAUGAGCUAUAUAAGCCUAGCCCACUGUUUCAUUAAAUAUGAUGGUUCUGCUAGUUCUUUGCUUCGUAUGCUACAACAUUUCCUUUUCUACAUUUACUAAGGGUUUUUGUUUUGUUUUGUUUUUGGAGAUAGGAUGUCUCGUGUGACAAACCUGACUGUCUGGGAACUCUCUAAACUGGUUAUUCUGGUGAGUUUAAAAGACCACAAUGCUUAGAGAAAUGCAAAAGUGGAGGCCCACCUUGUGAGGUUUCGGAAGGGAAUGUGCACUCUAGAGGUCAUUCUUGUUGUAUUCUGGUAAAGAAUCGGACUGUUUUCUACCUCCAUCCUGAGAAGCAGAGUAAGGCUGAAUUUAAAAGUAAUGGACUAAUUUGGAGGAGGGAAUGUCAAGACAGGAGGCUGUCCCGUUAGGUGUCACUGCCUUUGUUCAGACCUACAGUAAAACAACAAAGGGAAUAGAAUAUGAAAAACAUAGUUUGGCAAGGGUCAAGAGGUUUUUUUUUUUUUUUUUUUUUUUUUUGGUUCUUUUUUCCGGAGCUGGGGACCGAACCCAGGGCCUUUCGCUUCCUAGGUAAGCGCUCAACCACUGAGCUAAAUCCCCAACCCCUGGGUCAGAGGUUUUAAGAUUUGUAAAUAAGUCUGACUCUGAAACAGCAGUUGUAAUUAUAAGACUAAGCGCCAUUACAUAGGACCCUUCUUUACUGCACAAUAAAGAAGUUUCUCCGAGGGCCUACCCAUCAAAGGCUCCAUCUUGUGAAAAUACAAAUGAAUUGAAAGGAGAGAACCUAACUUAACCAAAAAACAGGGGUUCCCUGCUCUAAACUCACCAUCUAGCCACAGAGCCCACUACAAUUUUUUGUUUAUGAAGGCUGACUAAAACCCAAAGAGACUGAGCUGACUUAAAAACAGAACUGGCAGCGUUACCCAUGUGUUCUUGGUUUUACAGGCAUGUAAGAUUCAAGAAUAUGAAGGGGGGGGGGCUGGAGAGAUGGCUGAGUGGUUAAGAGCACUGACUGCCCUUCCAGAGGUCCUGAGUUCAAUUCCUAGCAACCACACGGUGGCUCACAACCAUCUGUAAUGGGAUCUGAUGCCCUCUUCUGGUGUGUCUGAAAACAGCUACAGUGUACUUAAUAUAAUAAAUAAAUCUUAAAAAAAAAAAAGAAUAUGAAGGGGUAGGGCAGUAUCAUAAAAUCUUCCAAGACCCAAUGAGGCCAAGACAUGUGUAGCAGAACUUGACAGUUUGGACUACCCAAGAUUUCUCCCCCCCCCCUUUUUUUUUCGGAGCUGGGGACCGAACCCAGGGCCUUGUGCUUCCUAGGCAAGCGCUCUACCACUGAGCUAAAUCCCCAAUGGUUCCAUCAUGAACCUCAUGUGCCUGACAAGGAUUUGAGGUUUGACCUGUGGGUUUUGGUCUCGUUCUGGCCAGAUCUUUUGUUUCUGUAAACCCAUUCUUCCCUUUGCAAAUGGGAAUAUUUAUCUUCACAAAGUGUAUAAUUUAUGUUUUAAUUUUACAUUGGCUUACAGAAAACAGUACCUUAGGUCCCAGAUGAGACUGUUUAAUGACUAUGGAGACUUUUAGAGAUGGACUAGAUGCAUUUUGUAUUGAGACGAAAGUGUUAUGAUUUAUAAUGAUGUGGUCUGGCUGAGUGUGUAGUUAACAACGGGUGGAGUUGUGAAGAUUAAUCUUAUUAACUUGAUUGAAUAAUUUGUAAUCACCAUGGAAACACACCUCUCUGGGUUUGCACGUGAGCAUAGUUUCAGAAAGUAUGAGACCAAGGCCAGAACAAAUACCUUGCAGGUUGAAAUAAGGCCAAAACGGAGAACCUAUCUCACAGGAUGAGAGUUCUGUUUAUAUCAAAGCAGUUUGCUUGGUGCUAAAAUCCAGCUAAGAGAUAAGUCUGUUUGUCCUGUGUGAAGUCCCUGCUAAUUAAGGCCUCUAUUUGAAAUCAAGAGUAAAUUCCUGGUGUGAGGCCUUAAAACCCCCAUUCGCCCUUGUGCGUCUUUGCCUUUGUUAGGGCCUUUAACUCCCAUUCACUUGGUGCAUAUCCUUGUCUUUGUUCCUCACCUUUUCAUAGUAUCCUUUUAACAAUGAAUAAUCACCAACUCUCUCUCCCACUGCAAAGGCCUUAGCGCCUUAUCUCCCCUGGGGGCGGGGGCUUCAAGAAGCCAGUGGGGGCUGCUCUUAGAGGAGACCGGGACAGCCAGCUGGCCAGCCGGCCAGCCUGCAGUGCACUUGAGUACAGCUUGCUUUAAUUUGGACAAUGGCGGACUCAGUCCCUUUUUUCUUUCUUCUUGAAUCUCAGGAUUAACAAAAGAUUUAAGCAGAGAAAACCCACUCUGAACAGGAGUGUUACAAUCUCACGGGCUGUGGUUCUAGCUGAAUAACAGAAAGCAAAUGACCUGAGGUGCCUGGAGAGAUAGCUCAGCAAUAAACGGUGCCUGCUGCUCUUGUUAAAGCAUCGAGAUUCAGUUCCCAGAACCCAUAGGAGAGCUCACAACUCAGCUCCAGGGGACCUGACAUCUUAUUUUGACAUCUGUGGUUUCCUGUAUACACGUAAUGCACAUAUAUGCACUCAGGCACUGAGACAUACACAAAAAUGACUGACUCACUAAAUUUUAGUGUGGACUUUAUAUCUACAUGAAAACACUCAUUUUGUGUUAGUUAUGUUAGAGAUUGACUCAGAGCCUCAUCUAUACUAGGUCUGAACUCUACCUCCUUACCAUUUUUUUCUUUUCUUUUUUUCAGAGCUGGGGACCAAACCCAGGGCCUUUUGCUUGAUCCUUACCAUUUUUUAAAUGACUUUUUAAACAAGAUUUAUUAUGUAUACAGUGUUCUGCCUGCAUGUAUGCCUGAAGGCCAGAAGAGGGCACCACAUCUCAUUAUAGAUGGCUAUGAGCCACCAUGUGGGUGCUAGGAAUUGACCUCUGGAAGAGCAGCCAGUGCUCUUAACCUCUGAACCAUCUCUCCAGACCCCACUAACCAUGUUUCAUAGGAGUCUUCCCACUUUUAGGUAGCAGAACUUUUUUUUUUUUUUUCGGAGCUGGGGACCGAACCCAGGGUCUUGCGCAUAGGCAAGCGCUCUACCGCUGAGCUAAAUCCCCAACCAGAAAUUUUUAAAAAAUAAUAUUUAUUCUAUGUGCAUUGGCAUUUUGCCUGCAUGUAUGUCUGUGUGAGGAUGCUAAGUUUUCUGGAACUGGAGUUGCAGAAAGUUGUAAGCUGCCAUGUGGGUGCUGGGAAUUGAACCCGGAUCCUCUGGAAGAGCAGCCAGUGCUCUUGCUGGCUGAGCCAUCUCUCCAGCCCUGGGAGCAGGAAAUUUUAAUAAUUAGCAUACAAAAUUAGGAGUUUCAUCAUGGCAUUUUCAUACAUAUUUUUAUUUGACCCUUCCCUUUUCCCUGUCUUGAAAAACCAAAAUCAGGGCUGAAGAGAUGGCUCAGUGAUCUUCCAGAAGUCCGGAGUUCGGCCUGGAGAGAUGGCUCAGAGGUUAAGAGCACCGACUACUCUUCCAGAGGUUCUGAGUUCAAUCCCCAGCAACCACGUGGUGGCUCACAGUCGUCUGUAGCAGAAUCCGAUGCCCUCUUCUGGUGUGUCUGAAGACAGCUACAGUGUGCUCAGAAGUCCGGAGUUCAAUUUCCAGCAACCAUAUGGGCUCACUACCAUCUAUAAAAGGGAUCUGGGGGUUGGGAUUUAGCUCAGUGGUAGAGCGCUUGCCUAGCAUGCGCAAGGCCCUGAGUUCGGUCCCCAGCUCCGAAAAAAAAAAGAAAAAAAAAAGUAAAUCAUUAGUGUUUUGGGGUUGGGGAUUUAGCUCAGUGGUAGAGCGCUUGCCUAGGAAGCGCAAGGCCCUGGGUUCGGUCCCCAGCUCUGAAAAAAAGAACAAAAAAAAAAAAAAAAAAAGGGAUCUGAUGCCCUCUUCUGGCUUGCAGGUGUACAUGCAGACUCCUAAAUAAAAAAGUAGAAAGAGGCCAUGAGAAGAAAUUUUUGUGUGUGUGUGAUAGGGUCUCUCCGUAGCCCUGGCUGUUCUGAAGCUGAAACUGUUCAGGAUGGACUUAAACUCAGACGGACUUAAUCACAUAGUGGCUCACAACUAUCUGUAAAAGGAUCUGGCACCCCCUUCUGGUGUGUCUGAAGACAGCUACAGUACUUAUAUACCUAAAGUAAAAUAAAAAAAAAAAACUUUAUUAAAAAAAAAAAGAACCAAAAUCAUACCAAACCUACCUCCCUUUUUUUGAGACCCCCCCCCAAGCCUCCUCAGUGCUAAGGAUAUAAUUAUUCUAAACAAGCAGCUAGGGUAUCUGCUAUCUUCUGCUUUUAUCUUCAGCAAUAUUCGAUUACUGUCAAGAAUUGAUUUAUUGAAAGUUGGCAAAAUAUAUACUCAGAUCAAGAUUUUUGCAGAAGCCAAUUACAUGUAUCUAACUGGGUACCACGUGCACACCUGGUGCCUACAGAAGCCAGGUAAAGGUGCUGGAUUCCCUAAAACUGGAGUUACAGUUGUAAGCAGCCAUGUGAUCUAGGAACUGAACCCAGGUCCUCUGGAAGAGCAUCCAGUGUUCUUAACCAUGGAUCCCUCUUUCCAGCCACACAAACUAGUUUUUUUUUUAAAAAAGAUAUAUACACACACACACACACACACACAUACAUACAUACAUACAUACACACACUGAGCUGUCUUCAGACACAAGAGAAGAGGGCAUCAGAUUCCAUUACAGAUGGCUGUGAGCCACCAUGUGGUCACUGGGAAUUGAACUCAGGACCUCUGGAAGAGCAGUUAGUGUUCUUAACCACUGAGCCAUUUCUCUAGCCCCAGAAACUAGUUUUCAAUAAACCAAUCUCAUGAUCGUCUUUUUUCUUUUAAAGUGAUUUUUAUUUUAUGUGCAUUGAUCUGUUUUGUCUACAUGUAUGUCUGUGUGAGGGUGUUUGGUCCCCUGGAACAAUUACAGUUGUGAGCUGCCAUAUGGUUGCUGGGAUUUGAACUCUGGUCCACUGGAAGAGCAGCCAAUGUACUUAAUUGCUAAACCACCUCUCCAGGUGGUUUUUCCUUUAGACAGGGUUUGACUUCAGGCUGGUCUUGAAUUCAGUCUUUCAGUGUCAAUGUUCUGAGUGUUAGCAUUGGGGACAUGGAACCUGAAGAGGCCACCUCCUGUAGCCACACAGGAACCUCAGUGGAGCACGAGAAAUAAUCCAGCCUACAAAACUUUCAACCCAAGUUAUCCUGUCUACAAGAAAUGCAGGCACAGGAGAUGGAGUAUAGCCUGAGGGAAAGGCCAACCAAUAACCAGCCCAAGUUGAGAAUCAUCCCAUCGGCAAGCAGCAAUCCCUGACAUUACUGAUGCUCUGCUAUGCUUGCAGACAGGAGCAUGUUGUUCUCUGAGAGGCUCCACCCAGCAGCUGACUCAGAUAGACACCCACAGCCUUGGACUUGGAGCUUGAGGACUCUUAUGGAAGAAUAGGAGGAAAGACUGCAAGCCCAAAGGUGAUAAGAACUCCACAGGAAGUUCAACAGAGCCAACUAUCUGGACCCUUGGGUUCUCAAGAGUCUGAACCAACCAAAGAACAUACUGGAGUUGGGGUUAUUCCCAAAAGUGUUGCCUGUAUGUGGGACAUGUUCUUCUAGCUGGGCUGCCUUGUAUGGCCUCAGUGGGAGAAGUGCCUAGCCUCACAGAGACUUAAAGUGCCAGGGCAGGGGGAUACCCAGGGAGACACCACCUGCUCAGUGAAGGAGCAAAGGGGAUAGGGGAAGGAUUGUGGGAGGGUAUAGGGGUAGUGAGCAGAAUGUAAAGUAAAAAAUAAAAUUUAAAAAUAUAUACUUGUUUUUAGAAAAAAACCUCAAAGUAUAUUUCAUUAAAAGCAUCACCAAAUGAAGUCUUUUUCAAGAAUCCAGUUAUUUUCACAUUUACUAGUUUCUUCAUGCUACAAUACAACCUUUCAGAAUCAAUCAAAUACAUAAUGUCAAUAGGUUUCCUCAAAACUCACUAAGUCUCUAUAAGGCAGCUGCAGUAUCCAAAAGAGCACAGCAGAGUAAUUGUGGCCACUGAAAUCAGUGAUGUCAUUAUUUAGGAUGCCUAUUUCUAAACUCACUUCUUUCUCAACACUGGUGAAUUUUAAAAACUAUCAAAGCCUGGACUGCACCUCGGGGCUUUUAUUUCCCCCUUCAAACUUCCCCAGCAAU